Molecule: non-coding RNA, 4999 nt
Organism: Rattus norvegicus (Norway rat)
Lineage: Eukaryota; Metazoa; Chordata; Mammalia; Rodentia; Muridae
Source: RefSeq, a predicted model, not a curated record
GAUUAACAUUUUUUACUUUAUUAUUAUUGUGGGGCACAUUUAUACAAGCCCGUGCACUUGGAGGUCAGAAGAUAACUUUGUGGAGUCUGGAUGGACUUUAGGUAUCCUUGCUUGCUUGACAAGUGCCGUUAUCAUCUGAGCCAUUUCAUUGACUCCCCCUCCCCCCAACCCUUUUUUGAGGGGAAUGUCAAAAGUACUUUAUAGAUAAGUACAUAUAUUUACUGUCAAAGACCUCUCUCUUAUUGGGACCUUGAACUCCUUGGACUCUUCUGUAUUCCUAGGGUAUUUAAAAGGCAACUUAUAUUUGAAUCACUCACAUUUUGCCAUGUAACCUGUCACAUUUCACAUAAAAGCUAGACCCCCUCCCCCGAUUUUUUUAAAGAUUUAUUUAUUAUAUAUAGGUACACUGUAGCUGUUCAGACACAACAGAAGAGGGCAUCAGAUCUCAUUACAGAUGGUUGUAAGCCACCAUGUGGUUGCUGGGAUUUGAACUCAGGACCUUUGGAAGAGCAGUCAGUGCUCUUAACCACUGAGCCAUCUCUCCAGCCCACCCCCCUGAUUUUUUUGGAGACAGAUUCUCUAUAUAGUUCUGACUCUCAUUGAAAUCACUAUGUAGACCAGGCUGGCGUCGAAUUCACAGAGAUCCACUUGCCUCUACCACUGAGUGUUGGGAUUUAAAGGAGUGUGGCUCCGCACCUGGUUUAAAGCCAACUUUUCUUCCCUUUAUUUUUUUUUCCCUUCUUUUUUUCGGAGCUGGGGCCCGAACCCUGGGCCUUGUGAUUGCUAGGCAAGCGCUCUACCACUGAACUAAAUCCCCAACCCAAAGCCAACUUUUCUUUUCUUUUUUUUUUUUUUUUUUUUUUGGUUCUUUUUUUCGGAGCUGGGGACCGAACCCAGGGCCUUGCGCUUCCUAGGCAAGCGCUCUACCACUGAGCUAAAUCCCCAGCCCCACUUUUCUUAAAUGCUUUUUAUGGGUGAAACAAUGCGACCUAUACUUGUAUAUGUGUACGCAUACACAUACUCACACACACAAUCUUGCAGGGGAGGAAAAUGAAGCUUACAGAAUUCGAUUACUUUGACCCAAUGUAAAAGUGGUAUUGUACGUUUAGGAGUUGAGCUGGAAUUCCAGUUUCCACGCCUCCCCCGACCCUCUAGACUUCCUCUUCCGGUUCUUGCUUUUCCAGUUUUCACUGGAGCACCAGGGCACAAGGAAACAGCUCUUUCCCGGCCUCACUUUUUUCCCCUCCUCCCCUCUCUACCCUUUGGGUCUCGGCACCACCUAACCCAGGGUUAAGCCCCAUCGGGUGCUCAGAACUACAUUUCCCAGAGGGCUUCGCGAGUCAGCGUCCUCCAAUCAGAGCUCUCCAGACGGCGCCAUUUCUGUGGCGGAAGUGGUGGUGCGGCCUGUGAUCAUGGCGCUGUUCCCGGCCUUCGCGGGCGUAAGUGAGGCCUCCGGUGAUGGAGCAUCCAGGAAAGAGUUAGACUGGCUGAGCAACCCAAGCUUUCGUGUUGGAAAUCUCACGUCUCUGAGCCGACAAACUGAAGAGGUCCCGGCCCUUGCUUCUGAAGCGUCACCACUGACAAGGAGUCCGUUGAAGUCAGAGCUCUCAGAUGAGAGUGACACUAAUGAGAAGCUCACACAGAUAAGCAAGAAAAAGAAGAAAGAGAAAAAGAAGAAAAGGAAACACCAGCACCACAAGAAAACCAAGAGGAGACACGAGCAGUCGAGCAGCAGUGGGUCCGGGUCAGACACAGAGGCUGGGAAGGACAGGGCUUCCCGAAGUAUCAGGGAUAGCCAAGAGUCUGAGAAAGCCCGUCAAGGAAGUAAUGCUGUUCCUGCUGCUCCUGCUACUGGACAUAGCUCCAUUUGGCUGGAAGAUAUUUACACUCUGACAGACGUCUUCAGGACAGAUAAGAAACCAGAUCCUGCCAACUGGGAGUAUAAAUCUCUGUAUCGUGGGGAUAUAGCAAGGUACAAGAGGAAGGGAGACUCCUGCCUGGGUAUCAACCCUAAGAAGCAGUGUAUAUCUUGGGAAGGGGCUUCUGCAGCAAAGAAGCACUCACACAGACACCUGGAGCGCUAUUUUACCAAGAAGAAUGUGGCAUUGUUACGAACUGAGGGGAUUGCCGUGUGCAGUAACCCUGAGCCCUCCUCCUCUGAGCCAGCCCCAUUCAUCCCAGUGAAGGACUCUGCCGAUGUGGCUACUCCUGUUACAACAUGGCUGAAUCCUCUGGGCAUUUAUGAUCAGUCUACCACACAGUGGUUACAAGGGCAGGGUCCAGCAGAGCCAGAGUUAAAGCAGCCAGACUCACAGCAGGAGAGGGACAGUGCUGCUCUUAAGGCCAGAGUGGAAGAGUUUAACAGGAGAGUUCGGGAAAACCCUCGGGACACGCAGCUAUGGAUGGCAUUCGUGGCUUUCCAGGAUGAAGUCAUGAGGAGUCCUGGCAUCUAUGCUCUUGGGGAAGGAGAGCAGGAGAAGCACAGGAAGUCCCUGAAGCUCCUCCUGGAGAAGAAGCUGGCUGUACUGGAGCGGGCCAUCGAGAGCAACCCAAGCAGCGUGGAGCUGAAGCUCGCCAAGUUGCAGCUGUGCUCAGAAUUCUGGGAGCCUAGUGCGCUGACCAAGGAGUGGCAGAAGCUCCUCUUCCUGCACCCCAACAACACAAGCCUGUGGCAGCGCUAUCUCUCCUUUUGCCAGAGUCAGUUUGGCACCUUUUCUGUGUCCAAACUCCACAGUCUAUAUGGCAAGUGCUUGAGUACCUUGUCUGCUGUUAAAGACGGCAGCAUGUUAUCCCACCCUGUGUUGCCGGGCACUGAGGAGGCCAUGUUUGGGCUCUUUCUUCAGCAGUGCCACUUUCUACGGCAGGCUGGCCACUCGGAGAAGGUCGUCUCUCUGUUCCAGGCCAUGGUUGACUUCACCUUCUUCAAGCCUGACAGUGUGAAAGAGCUGCCCACAAAAGUGCAGGUGGAAUUCUUUGAACCCUUCUGGGACAGCGGAGAGCCCCGUGUUGGGGAGAAGGGAGCCCGAGGCUGGCGGGCGUGGAUGCACCAGCAGGAGCGUGGUGGCUGGGUGCUUGUCAACCCAGAUGAGGAUGACGAGGAGCCGGAAGAAGAGGACCAAGAGAUAAAAGACAAGACCCUGCCCAGGUGGCAGAUCUGGCUUGCUAUGGAACGUUCUCGAGACCAGAGGCACUGGCGUCCCUGGCGCCCUGAUAAGACCAAGAAGCAAACGGAGGAAGACUGUGAGGACCCCGAGAGACAGGUGCUGUUUGAUGACGUUGGGCAAUCUUUGAUCAGACUUUCCAGCCCAGAUCUUCAGUUCCAGCUCAUUGAGGCCUUUCUGCAGUUCCUGGGUGUACCUUCUGGCUUCCUUCCCCCAGCCUCCUGCCUUUAUCUGGCCAUGGACGAGAGUAGCAUCUUUGAGAGUAAACUUUAUGAUGAAAAGCCCUUGACUUACUUCAACCCUUUAUUUUCUGGCAUUAGCUGUGUGGGCUACAUGGAACAGUUGGAUUGUCCUCGCUGGACCAAAGGUCACAACCGAGAGGGCGAGGAGUUUGUCCGCAAUGUCUUCCACCUGGUGCUGCCUCUGUUCUCAGGCAAGCAGAAGUGCCAGCUCUGCCUCUCUUGGUUACGGUACGAGAUUGCCAAGGUCAUUUGGUGUCUACACACUAAAAAGAAGAGAUUGAAGUCUCAGGGAAAGAACUGCAAAAAGCUAGCCAAGAGUCUCCUCAAGGAGCCAGAAAACCGCAACAACCUCUGCCUCUGGAGGCAGUAUGCACACCUGGAGUGGUUGCUCGGCAACACAGAGGAUGCCAGAAAGGUGUUGGAUGCAGCCCUCAGCAUGGCAGGCAGCAGCGACCUGAAGGACCGGGAGCUCUGUGAGCUCAGUCUGCUCUAUGCUGAGCUGGAGGUAGAGCUGUCUCCUGACUCGAGAGGAGCCACCACAGGCCGUGCCGUCCACGUACUAACUCGGCUGACGGAGAGCAGCCCCUGUGGGCCCUACACUGGGCAGGUCUCGUCCACUCAGGUUCUGAAAGCCCGGAAGGCUUAUGAGCAUGCGCUGCAGGACUGUCUGGGACAGAGCUGUGCCUCCAGCCCACCUACUGCAGAGUCGUUGGACUGCCUGGGUAGCCUGGUCAAAUGCUUCAUGCUCUUCCAGUAUUUGACUGUAGGAAUUGACGCUGCUGUGCAGGUGUACAGACAGGUGUUUUCCAAGCUGGAGGGCUCUGCUCUCCUGGAAGGCCCGGGGCCAGAGGACAGUGCCAGCUCCCAGAGUGUGACCAGUGUUCUCGAGGCCGUCACCCUGAUGCACACAAGCCUGCUGCGAUUCCACAUGAACAUUUGUGUGUACCCUCUGGCUCCACUCCGAGAGACCCUCUCAGACGCUUUAAAGCUGUAUCCAGGCAACCAGGGUCUUUGGAGGGCUUACGUGCAGAUUCAGAAUAAGUCCCACAGUGCUAACAAGACCAGAAGAUUCUUUGACACAGUCACUAGGUCUGCCAAGCAUUUGGAGCCUUGGCUGUUUGCAAUCGAAGCUGAGAAGCUGAGGAAAAGGCUGGUGGAAUCUGUUCAGAGGUAAUUAGUGACAGUCUCCUGCAUGGGCUUCACAGACCUUUAUGGGAUGGUUGCCAUGUUCGCAGGCCCGGCCACCCUGGUACGACUGCUCUAGUUGUGUCCAGUACAGACUGAAGAGUGAGUAAGACCCUGAGGAAGUGCCUCCAUCCUCCUUCCUGCGCCAGGCUUCCACCUGACUGGUUUCUGGUGUCUGAGGAGCUGUAAUGAGAGCAUUGUGCUGUCAAGUGUAGACUGUAGAGGCUCUGGUGCCAGUACCUGCUCUGCCACUUGUCACCUCAACCUUGGGGUAGGUGGCAGGGAGGUCCAUGCUACAAUCCCCGAGACUGGUCUUACGCAUCGGAUCAGAGCUUUGUUUGAAAAUGCAAUCCGGAGCGACCAGGGUGGCCAGUGCCCGCUGCUGUGGAGGAUGUAUUUGAAAUUUUUGGU